Physella acuta is the source of this 252-nucleotide long non-coding RNA. RefSeq lists it as uncharacterized. The record is from RefSeq and is a predicted model, not a curated record. NCBI's taxonomy places the organism in Eukaryota, Metazoa, Mollusca, Gastropoda, Physidae.
UCCCCCUACCACCCCAGACCACGGGCCUGUUGUGUCCUGAUCUCCCCAGACCCUCGGGUCAAACAGCAACUUCUAGGCCAGGCUGCCAGCUUAUCCACCCUCCCUGUGACGUCAUGGACCUUUAGGAACCCAGAUUAAAACAAACACAACUUUAUUUGAACAACACCAAAAGUACGGAUGAUCCUUUCACGGAAUAAAAUAACUGUUUAUCAUUAGAGGCGCACUUGACUAAAAUCAUAGUUGCUGUCUGAC